UCCUCCAACCAUAUUUUGAUGUUCCCCAAGUUUUGAACACAAUCCGAUAUCGAUUGGUCCAUGAAAUUGGACAAUUCAGGUUCGUACGACGUUCGUUCUGAAAUGGAGUGGUUGGUGUAUUGCAUAGUUCUAGAGAUUGGAUAUCACUCAAAACCAGCCAAAUGAUUCCUCCCACCAUAUUAUGAUAUUCCCCAAGUUUUGGACCCAAUCCGAUAUCGAUUGGUCCAUGAAAUUGAAAAAUUCAGGUUCGUACGAAGUUCGUUUUGAAAUGAAGUGGUUCGUGUAUUCCAC
This 291-nucleotide long non-coding RNA is filed under the name Prunus persica (peach). RNAcentral describes it as "long non-coding RNA (PPER_LNC001032)". The record is from RNAcentral. Lineage: Eukaryota; Viridiplantae; Streptophyta; Magnoliopsida; Rosales; Rosaceae.